Coturnix japonica (Japanese quail) is the source of this 1522-nucleotide long non-coding RNA. RefSeq lists it as uncharacterized. The record is from RefSeq and is a predicted model, not a curated record. NCBI's taxonomy places the organism in Eukaryota, Metazoa, Chordata, Aves, Galliformes, Phasianidae.
AUAGGCAAGUCUCUCCUGCUGCACGCUGCAGACAGGCCUUUCAAAGGGGCAAUGAGUUAGGUAAAGAAAGGUGGUGGAACUGGUGGGAAUACUCCUCAGUGACAACCUUCUUAAGAACUGGAGAAGCAGCUUCCUUCAUGCUUGUAGACCAUUUCUCUUGGCUUGUGAUGCCUGUGGGCCUCAAAAUAACUGAGGUUUGCACAGCUGCAAGAGCAACAUGAGAUGUGCCUACCCACCCAUCCUGACAUACAGGACCAUGGCUGCCAUAGGACAUAGCACCAGGUCCUUGGAGCGCAAGAAUAGCAGACCUCUCCCCUCACAGCAGGGUGACGUUUUCAGAUAUGGAGGUGUGAGUAGUCAAGCCCGCUUAAGAAACCAACAGAUUCUUCUUCCUGCAUGGAGAUAUUUUACCCCCAAGACAUCAAUUAGACAUGGAAAAGAUUGAACCAUGGGAUGGACAUGGACAGUGACUCAAAAGAACAGUAAAGCCUAAGAAAUACAAGAAAGGAAAGAAAGAGUUGAGCAGCAACAACAGCGAAACAGACAGAUGAACAGCAUACAAGUGGAAAGCAGUGGUCACAGUUUUCUACCUCAGCUUCUCCUGACAGCAAGCAUCUUUACAUCUGUCACCUUGAUCCCAGUGUCAGCUGCAUCAAAAUCUACAAGUCUUUAAGUCUGUGCAACCCUUUUUUUGCAUCCCAGUGACUAACUGAAGAGUGGAUUCAGCAAACAAAGUCUGCACAUGGCUCCUUUCUUGGGCCUCUUUGGCUUUAGGAUGGAUUUCUGUGCUGAGAAGAUACACAAAGCAGCUGAGUGCCCUUGCCCAGCCCAGCCAACCAAAGCUUCUGCUCUGCUUGCCGGAUGGGCCUCAGAGCAAAUGAGCCCCACAGCCCAGGAAGGAGCUGCUGAGUGCUGCACCUUGACACUGUGUUGGGCCAUACUGCACAGGAUGUACAGGAUACAUCACAUUCACUUGACAUCUACUGCAAGCCAGCAAGGUUCAGGCUAAGCCGAGUGGAUCGGAGCACACACGUCAUCUCAGAGCUCCUGGUGUGGCUGCUGACAGCCGAUGUGACCAUGGUGGGGCUCUCAUCCCUCCAUGGCGUCACCUCCUCUCUGCCGUCCCCACAGCUCCCGCCGCUCGGCCAAACCAGCUUCCUUUUCCUGUGGGGCUUUGUCCCGCUCACGGUAGCGCCGGCCCCAGCACCUCGUGGUUUCACGGCCCCCAUCAUCUGCUCUCUCUUCCUUCUGCAUUAUUUAAACCGCCUCGCUCCGGCGGUCAGGGCCGGGUUAGAUCGAACAGAAGCCACACGUUAUUUACGAGGGGGACGGCGCUGCCUCCUGCUCCACCGGCUGACUUCGGGGCCUACAGUGACACAGCCCGACCCUCCGCUCGGCCACCGCGGCCGGACCCAAGGCUCGACUUUAACCACUCGUCACGCCGGUGCCGCCCGCUCCCAACGCCGGCAGCGGGGGCUCGGCCCGAGGUUCCCAGCCACGCCCCGUCAGCAGCUUCGCAGCA